This is a long non-coding RNA of Camelus dromedarius (Arabian camel), 208 nucleotides long. RefSeq lists it as uncharacterized. The record is from RefSeq and is a predicted model, not a curated record. Lineage: Eukaryota; Metazoa; Chordata; Mammalia; Artiodactyla; Camelidae. The transcript has 3 exons.
GUAGGACACAACUUCCUACACUGCCAACUGUUAAGUAAGUUUUGGCUGAACACAUGAAUGAAUGAAGAAAACAAUGAAGGAAGAAAGGAAUUAAAAGCUUUCAGAUGAGGAAACUAAAGUCCAGAAAUUUUUUACAACGUGCCCAAGGCUACUCAGAUAGAGAAGAAGAACCUUCAUGUGAAACUUACAACGAUUCCAGAAAUAUCUA